AAGUUAAAGCGCCAGAACUAAAGCUUAUAAUGAGUAAAACCGCUUUAGUUGACGAGGAUGGGGAGAAUCGAAUCUUCGGCGGGUGCCCCACGGUAUCGCACUACCGUUAACGAUUGAUAAAGCCGGGAAGUGAUUUCCGGAA
This 142-nucleotide non-coding RNA is filed under the name Clostridium polynesiense. RNAcentral's name for it is "glmS glucosamine-6-phosphate activated ribozyme". It matches the Rfam family "glmS glucosamine-6-phosphate activated ribozyme aptamer", at positions 5 to 144 of the family's 167-position model. Rfam says of the family: This entry contains a glucosamine-6-phosphate activated ribozyme that is found in the mRNA for GlmS. GlmS is an enzyme that uses fructose-6-phosphate and glutamine to generate glucosamine-6-phosphate. The ribozyme catalyses self cleavage of the glmS mRNA that is thought to regulate GlmS activity. Lineage: Bacteria; Bacillati; Bacillota; Clostridia; Eubacteriales; Clostridiaceae. The record is from RNAcentral.